GACGAACGCUGGCGGCGUGCUUAACACAUGCAAGUCGAACGGAAAGGCCCUGCUUUUGUGGGGUGCUCGAGUGGCGAACGGGUGAGUAACACGUGAGUAACCUGCCCUUGCCUUUGGGAUAACUUCAGGAAACUGGGGCUAAUAAAGGAUAGGAGCUCCUGCUGCAUGGUGGGGGUUGGAAAGUUUCGGCGGUUGGGGAUGGACUCGCGGCUUAUCAGCUUGUUGGUGGGGUAGUGGCUUACCAAGGCUUUGACGGGUAGCCGGCCUGAGAGGGUGACCGGCCACAUUGGGACUGAGAUACGGCCCAGAGUCCUACGGGAGGCAGCAGGGGGGAAUGUUGCACAAUGGGCGGAAGCCUGAUGCAGCAACGCCGCGUGCGGGAUGACGGCCUUCGGGUUGUAAACCGCUUUCGCCUGUGACGAAGCGUUAGUGACGGUAAUGGGUAAAGAAGCACCGGCUAACUACGUG
Molecule: ribosomal RNA, 468 nt
Filed under: uncultured bacterium
Lineage: Bacteria
Description: partial 16S ribosomal RNA
Rfam family: Bacterial small subunit ribosomal RNA
Source: RNAcentral